Papaver somniferum (opium poppy) is the source of this 784-nucleotide long non-coding RNA. RefSeq lists it as uncharacterized. The transcript is spliced from 3 exons. The record is from RefSeq and is a predicted model, not a curated record. Lineage: Eukaryota; Viridiplantae; Streptophyta; Magnoliopsida; Ranunculales; Papaveraceae.
GACUUUUAACAGACUCAAAACUCUGAUGUAACUGAGCGUAACCGUAGCCUUAUGAGUCCUCCUAGUUACUCGGUCUCCUGAUGAUGCUUAUCUUGUUUUUGUUGACAAGGUGCAGCUGAGUCAGUGGCCUGACUAACACUAUUCUCUGAUCUUCUCUCUUCCUAAGCAGUACGAACUUCUCCUCAUAGACAAAGAAAACCCUUUACCUCCCCCGUUGAGUUUUGGAGCAUAAUUCAGUAUACGACUGCAAUUUUGGGUUCAUCCCCAACUUCGAGUUUGUCGGAUUUUUCAAACCUAAAUUUGAAUUGGGGUUUUCUUUUGGUUUUUGAUCGAAUUACUCUGUUGCUUUAAUGGUUGAACUCGUUAAGACCUCUUCGUUGAUUUACCGAACUAAUAACCGAGGGUAAGCACUUCGAUUUUCCGUAAAAGUUCUAGACUAAUUGAGCUAGCGCGACUUCGCGAAUUAACUGCAACGGAAAAGGCUGAAGGGAAGCAAAAUCAUGGUUAACUGUCAUACACUAAGUGAAAUUACAUAGAGACGAAGGUGAACUUGCAAAGAGAUAUACAAGACUAUUAACCAAUAUUGCAAGUAACAUUUAUUUCUUGUCCACCUUACCUACUGAACUACCAUUUUUAAGUUUUAGGAGAACAAAUUACUACAUAAUUUGCAAUUUAAAACUUCAGUGUUUUAAGCAGUUGGGAUGCCAACUAACAUCUUAUCAGAUGAGCCUGUUUCCGAGUAUAUCAGACUAUUCUAUUGAAUAAGAUUGAGGUUUUGUGUGUA